RNAcentral lists this long non-coding RNA (371 nucleotides) under Nicotiana benthamiana. RNAcentral describes it as "long non-coding RNA (NBEN_LNC040669)". Lineage: Eukaryota; Viridiplantae; Streptophyta; Magnoliopsida; Solanales; Solanaceae. The record is from RNAcentral.
CCCUGAGAGCUGAUUCAACCAAAGGAUAAGAUCUUUCAACUUUGACAAUGACCCCAAACUAGAUGGUAUUUUCCCAGUCAAGUAAUUAAAGCUAAGAUCAAGUGACACCAACUGAGAACAGUUGCUUAGACUGUCAGGUAUAGGGCCUGUUAACCAAUUAUUCUGAAGGUACAACACUUUCAAGCUACGACACCAAUUGAGAACAGUUGCUUAGACUGUCAGGUAUAGGGCCUGUAAACCAAUUAUUCUGAAGGUACAACACUUUCAAGCGACUCAUAGGAUCUUUACAAAUACCAGAAGGAAUAAUACCUGUGAUAUUAUUAGAACUCACAUCCAAAGUCUCCAAUUUCAGCAAGUUGGAGAAAGACUCG